Molecule: long non-coding RNA, 331 nt
Organism: Gordionus sp. m RMFG-2023
Lineage: Eukaryota; Metazoa; Nematomorpha; Gordioida; Chordodea; Parachordodidae
Exons: 3
Source: RefSeq, a predicted model, not a curated record
UAAUCUAUAGAUACUGCUACAACCUCAUAUCCAUAUUAUCAUGCUACCCAAGCCUUACAGGAGAAAGUAUCCGCAAUUAUACAAAUUAAUAUUUUAUCUUGAUAUAAAAAAAUAUAUAACUUCAUAUAAGUUAUUGACAAUUUUGGAAAGAGACAAACAAAAAGAUGAUGAAAAGAAUAUGGAGAGCAAAAUAUGCAAUCUAAUAAAUGAAAAGGCAUGGGAGGCGUAAAGAAUCUGAUCUAACAGUUAUUGGAUUGUCCAGAAAAAAGAAGAAAAAUAAUCUAAUAUCUGUAGAAAAUAUCAAGAUAGGAGAAAAACAACCUAAUUCCCA